RNAcentral lists this RNase P RNA (347 nucleotides) under Parcubacteria bacterium C7867-001. It matches the Rfam family "Bacterial RNase P class A". From Rfam's summary of the family: Ribonuclease P (RNase P) is a ubiquitous endoribonuclease, found in archaea, bacteria and eukarya as well as chloroplasts and mitochondria. Its best characterised activity is the generation of mature 5'-ends of tRNAs by cleaving the 5'-leader elements of precursor-tRNAs. The record is from RNAcentral. Lineage: Bacteria; Candidatus Parcubacteria.
GGACCGAUUCAGACGAUCGCUCUCAGGAUAGGAAUGUCCCGAAGGGAGGAAAGUCCGAGCACAGGCAUUCGCAAGGAUGCAGCAGGGUAGCGGGUAACGCCCGUCCGCGGAAACGCGCGAGGUGCGAGCAGUGACGUCAAACGCGAAAGCGCGCGACAACCUUCGGGUUGAAGUCCAUCGAAAGGUGGAAGUGAAACGGCUAAAUCCUUACUUCUGUGCAAGGCCGUAUCGAUAAUCUUCGGAUAUGUCGAGGCGCCGCUUGAGGUGUACGGUAACGUACAUCCCAGAUAGAUGAUCGUCCGUGUAGCAAUACGCGACAGAACUCGGCUUAUCGAAUCGGUAUCCAC